RNAcentral lists this ribosomal RNA (284 nucleotides) under uncultured bacterium. RNAcentral describes it as "partial 16S ribosomal RNA". It matches the Rfam family "Bacterial small subunit ribosomal RNA", at positions 335 to 607 of the family's 1533-position model. The record is from RNAcentral.
ACUCCUACGGGAGGCAGCAGUGGGGAAUAUUGCACAAUGGGGGAAAGCCCAUCGAUGCAGCCAUGCCCGCGUGUGUGAAGAAGGCCUUCGGGUUGUAAAGCACUUUCAGUAGGGAGGAAGGUAGUGUAGUUAACACCUGCAUUAUUUGACGUUACCUACAGAAGAAGCACCGGCUAACUUCGUGCCAGCAGCCGCGGUAAUACGAAGGGUGCAAGCGUUAAUCGGAAUUACUGGGCGUAAAGCGCGCGUAGGUGGCUUGAUAAGUUGGAUGUGAAAUCCCCGGG